ACUACGGGAGGCAGCAGUGAGGAAUAUUGGUCAAUGGGCGGACGCCUGAACCAGCCAAGUAGCGUGCAGGAUGACGGCCCUACGGGUUGUAAACUGCUUUUAUACGGGAAUAACGCGCCUUACGUGUAGGGCUUUGCAUGUACCGUAUGAAUAAGGACCGGCUAAUUCCGUGCCAGCAGCCGCGGUAAUACGGAAGGUCCGGGCAUUAUCCGGAUUUAUUGGGUUUAAAGGGAGCGUAGGCCGCAUGUCAAGCGUGCUGUGAAAUGUCCGGGCGCAACCCGGGCCUUGCAGCGCGAACUAGCGUGCUUGAGUCCGCGGAAGGCAGGCGGAAUUCGUCGUGUAGCGGUGAAAUGCUUAGAUAUGACGAAGAACCCCGAUUGCGAAGGCAGCUUGCUGCAGCGGAACUGACGCUGAUGCUCGAAAGCGCGGGUAUCGAACAGGAUUAGAUACCCCUGUAGCC
Molecule: ribosomal RNA, 460 nt
Filed under: uncultured bacterium
Lineage: Bacteria
Description: partial 16S ribosomal RNA
Rfam family: Bacterial small subunit ribosomal RNA
Source: RNAcentral